This 113-nucleotide small RNA is filed under the name Marmota monax (woodchuck). Lineage: Eukaryota; Metazoa; Chordata; Mammalia; Rodentia; Sciuridae. The record is from RNAcentral.
GCCGGGUGUGGUGGCGCAUGCCUGUAAUCCCAGUAGCUUGGGAGGCUGAGGCAGGAGGAUUGCAAGUUCAAAGCUAGCCUCAGCAAAAGCAACUCAGUGAGGCCUUGUCUCUA